Molecule: small RNA, 87 nt
Filed under: Marmota monax (woodchuck)
Lineage: Eukaryota; Metazoa; Chordata; Mammalia; Rodentia; Sciuridae
Source: RNAcentral
AUCGCUUCUCGGCCUUUUGGCUAAGAUCAAGUGUGGAAAUCUCCUUAUCUUAGAUUAUCUAGUUUAUUAGACAUAUUUCUACUUUUC